GAUGAACGCUGGCGGCGUGCCUAACACAUGCAAGUCGAACGAGAUGCGUAUCGGAAAGCUUCGGCCGGAAGAUACGUUAUCUAGUGGCGGACGGGUGAGUAACACGUGGGUAACCUGCCUUAUGGAGGGGGAUAACAGAGAGAAAUCACUGCUAAUACCGCAUAAGCACACAGUACCGCAUGGUACAGGGUGAAAAGAUUUAUCGCCAUAAGAUGGACCCGCGUCUGAUUAGCCAGUUGGCAGGGUAAAAGCCUACCAAAGCAACGAUCAGUAGCCGAUCUGAGAGGAUGACCGGCCACAUUGGGACUGAGACACGGCCCAAACUCCUACGGGAGGCAGCAGUGGGGAAUAUUGCACAAUGGGGGGAACCCUGAUGCAGCGACGCCGCGUGAGUGAAGAAGUAUUUCGGUAUGUAAAGCUCUAUCAGCAGGGAAGAUAAUGACAGUACCUGACUAAGAAGCCCCGGCUAACUACGUGCCAGCAGCCGCGGUAAUACGUAGGGGGCAAGCGUUAUCCGGAUUUACUGGGUGUAAAGGGAGCGUAGACGGAAUGGCAAGUCUGAAGUGAAAUACCCGGGCUCAACCUGGGAACUGCUUUGGAAACUGUUGUUCUAGAGUGUUGGAGAGGUAAGUGGAAUUCCUGGUGUAGCGGUGAAAUGCGUAGAUAUCAGGAAGAACACCGGAGGCGAAGCGGCUUACUGGACAAUAACUGACGUUGAGGCUCGAAAGCGUGGGGAUCAAACAGG
This 745-nucleotide ribosomal RNA is filed under the name uncultured Oribacterium sp. RNAcentral describes it as "bacterial SSU rRNA". It matches the Rfam family "Bacterial small subunit ribosomal RNA", at positions 28 to 776 of the family's 1533-position model. The record is from RNAcentral. Lineage: Bacteria; Bacillati; Bacillota; Clostridia; Lachnospirales; Lachnospiraceae.